UUUUUUUAUUUUUAAAAUCUGGGUAAACUACAUUAGUAGUUCCUUUACCAUGAGUUCUUUUUGUCACUGAACUAUAAGAAAUUACAAAAUAAUCACUCAACUUUUUUUUGUCACCCAACUAUAUUGUAUUUUUGGGUGUUUUCAGUAUUACAUUAGCCAACGCCCAACGCCCAACGCCCGACGGGUGAUUGAGUUGAGCCCUAAUACUGUCAAGCUCUAGCUCAACUUGAAAUUUGGAGCUCAAUACUCGACUCAAACUUGAUUGAACAUCUAUUUUUGAACUUGAUCUCGACUCAAGAUAUAGUUGAGCUCAAGCUCGAUUAUCAAUUUUUGUACUCAUGCUUCGAACUUGAGCUCGGUUCAGUCAUUAAGCUUAAGGUUAAUAAUAUAUAUUAAUGGAAAAAGUAUAUGUAGAAGCCCAAAUUUGCUCGAGCCCUACUAGCAAAACAAACUUCAGCCCAAACGGCCAAUUACAUUACAAAAUUAAUUGGACCAGCCCAAAUACAAACAAUAGGCCCAAAUACAGCCCAAACCCAAUGAAAAACUAGGGUUUCAGAACCCUAGUUUCCCCCAUGUGCAUCGUACACCUCUGCAGUACCCACCCCUCUGCCACCGCCGUUCGCUACGUCCCAUCCGCACCUGCCUCUGACGUCGCGCCGCUCGUCCAUCACCCUGCAAACACACAACACAAGCAGAAGGAGACAAGACCAAAAUUUUUAUUUUCUUUUGGCUAUAAAGCCGAUUUGUAAGAAACGGAAAUGGGGGGGACUUUUCUUGGAUUUUUUUCUCUUUCGACAAAAGCCGAACAUUGUAAAAGGGAGACUUUUUACGAGCAUUCAGAAAUAAAAAAAGAACAGAAGUUUUAAAGGUUGAAUUUUUACUGUUUUCUUUUAAUUUUUUUAUUAUUUACUUAUUUUACAAUUUCGUUUUAACGAAAAUAGCAAAAAAAAAAAGGAAAAGAGUGCACCUGAAUCGCUGUGGCUCCGUCGACGGAGGUCAUCUCGCCGUCGUCGGAAUCGGGUUUAAAAAUGAGGUGCAAGGCUCUUCGUUCCCUCCAGUCGAAGCCCGACCUCAUAGCCUGCCUAGAACCGGGCUUUUAAAGCCCUACAUCACGCUUCGUCGGCCGUCAGUUUAAUGGCGGUGCGGUGGACGGAUGAACGGCGGUGAGAAGUCCAACCGUCGGAAGGCAAAGGGGGAGAGUUGAGAGGAUGAAAGCUUUUUUUAACAGAAUAAAAGAAAAGUUUUUUUUAUUAAAUCUGGCAUUUUAUAGAAGACACGAAACGGCGCCGUUUAAGCCCUCUUCAACCCGCGCGGUGACCCGACCCGGGGAGGAUCCGCCCGUUUUCUUUAAAGGGUAUAAUU
Molecule: long non-coding RNA, 1362 nt
Filed under: Gossypium barbadense (sea-island cotton)
Lineage: Eukaryota; Viridiplantae; Streptophyta; Magnoliopsida; Malvales; Malvaceae
Description: long non-coding RNA (GBAR_LNC021333)
Source: RNAcentral